RNAcentral lists this ribosomal RNA (497 nucleotides) under uncultured bacterium. RNAcentral describes it as "partial 16S ribosomal RNA". It matches the Rfam family "Bacterial small subunit ribosomal RNA", at positions 28 to 507 of the family's 1533-position model. The record is from RNAcentral.
GAUGAACGCUGGCGGCGUGCCUAAUACAUGCAAGUCGAGCGAACAGACGAGGAGCUUGCUCCUCUGACGUUAGCGGCGGACGGGUGAGUAACACGUGGAUAACCUGCCUAUAAGACUGGGAUAACUUCGGGAAACCGGAGCUAAUACCGGAUAAUAUAUUGAACCGCAUGGUUCAAUAGUGAAAGACGGUUUUGCUGUCACUAAUAGAUGGAUCCGCGCCGCAUUAGCUAGUUGGUAAGGUAACGGCUUACCAAGGCAACGAUGCGUAGCCGACCUGAGAGGGUGAUCGGCCACACUGGAACUGAGACACGGUCCAGACUCCUACGGGAGGCAGCAGUAGGGAAUCUUCCGCAAUGGGCGAAAGCCUGACGGAGCAACGCCGCGUGAGUGAUGAAGGUCUUCGGAUCGUAAAACUCUGUUAUUAGGGAAGAACAAAUGUGUAAGUAACUAUGCACGUCUUGACGGUACCUAAUCAGAAAGCCACGGCUAACUACGUG